Molecule: ribosomal RNA, 469 nt
Filed under: uncultured bacterium
Lineage: Bacteria
Description: bacterial SSU rRNA
Rfam family: Bacterial small subunit ribosomal RNA
Source: RNAcentral
UUCCAGACUCCUACGGGAGGCAGCAGUGAGGAAUAUUGGUCAAUGGCCGCAGGGCUGAACCAGCCAAGUCGCGUGAGGGAUGACGGUCCUAUGGAUUGUAAACCUCUUUUGUCAGGGAGCAAAGGGCGCCACGUGUGGCGUUUUGCGAGUACCUGAAGAAAAAGCAUCGGCUAACUCCGUGCCAGCAGCCGCGGUAAUACGGAAGGUCCGGGCGUUAUCCGGAUUUAUUGGGUUUAAAGGGAGCGUAGGCCGGCUUUUAAGUCAGCUGUGAAAGUCCGCGGCUCAACCGUGGAAUUGCAGUUGAAACUGGAGGCCUUGAGUGCACACAGGGAUGCCGGAAUUCAUGGUGUGGCGGUGAAAUGCUUAGAUAUCAUGAAGAACUCCGAUCGCGAAGGCAAGUGUCCGGGGUGCAACUGACGCUGAGGCUCGAAAGUGCGGGUAUCAAACAGGAUUAGAUACCCCCGUAUGG